Ictalurus furcatus (blue catfish) is the source of this 3138-nucleotide long non-coding RNA. RefSeq lists it as uncharacterized. The transcript has 2 exons. NCBI's taxonomy places the organism in Eukaryota, Metazoa, Chordata, Actinopteri, Siluriformes, Ictaluridae. The record is from RefSeq and is a predicted model, not a curated record.
CUAAACUCUAUACCCUACAGCCUAAACCCUAAACCCUAAAUUCUAUACCCUACAGCCUAAACCCUAAACCCUACACCCUAAACUCUAUACCCUACACCCUAAACCCUAAACCCUAAACUCUAUACCCUACAGCCUAAACCCUACACCCUACAGCCUACACCCUACAGCCUAAACCCUACACCCUAAACUCUAUACCCUACAGCCUAAACCCUAAACCCUACAGCCUACACCCUACAGCCUAAACCCUACACCCUACACCCUAAACUCUAUACCCUACACCCUAAACCCUAAACCCUAAACUCUAUACCCUACAGCCUAAACCCUACACCCUACAGCCUACACCCUACAGCCUAAACCCUACACCCUAAACUCUAUACCCUACAGCCUAAACCCUAAACCCUACAGCCUACACCCUACAGCCUAAACCCUACACCCUACACCCUAAACUCUAUACCCUACAGCCUAAACCCUACACCCUACAGCCUACACCCUACAGCCUAAACCCUACACCCUAAACUCUAUACCCUACAGCCUAAACCCUAAACCCUACAGCCUACACCCUACAGCCUAAACCCUACACCCUACACCCUAAACUCUAUACCCUACAGCCUAAACCCUACACCCUGAACCCUAACUCACUAAAGCAAUAAAUCAGUGGUUUGGGACAGAGCCAACCUGUUCACUCCUGUGUGAUAUUCAAAAUAGGACAUGACCACCACUGACUCUCUCCCUCUCUGUAUGUGAGUAAUCUGCCUGUCCACACACACACACACACACACACACACACACACACACACACACACAGAGUUCUAAACAGAAGAGGCGGGCCCUCGUUCUUCAGAGCUUCUUCCUGUUUUUCUGGGGUCAGAGGUGCGCCCCCUCCUCAUCUACGGACUGAUGUUUUACUUCCUUCAGCAGCGUGAUCACUUCAUCACUGUUUAAUGAUUACCCAGAAUGCUCAGCUGCUACAUGCUUCAGUUUUUCAUCUGAACAGUUGGAUCUUGAGAGACGGUGCGAUCGACCGCUUCAGUAUUUAUUUCUCAGACUGAAUGAAAAUCUCGUCGUGUGUGUGUGUGUGUGUGUGUGUGUGUGUGUGUGUGCGUGUGUGCGUGUGUGUGUACGCGACGGGAAGCAGGACCACGACCACAACAGCAAUAAUCAUGCCGGGGAAACGUGUGCUAUUUAUCAUGAGACGCGGAGCUGCCUGUACGAGUGAUGUGAAAGCGCUCAGUAACCGGGUCUGAAAUGAACUCCAUUAGCCAAGAAACUCCAUGAAAUUAGCGUCCGGAAAACAAGUUAAUCCAGUAUAUCUUUCUGUGUGGGAUCAACCUAAUUACCAUAAGUGUCUGUUGUGAAAAGGGAUUUGCAUAACCCCGCCCACAAGAGUGAUGCACUGAAGAGCUGCAAGCGUACACGUCUGCGCUUUUCCAGAAAACGAGACGUCACCGACACAAGAGCGUUUACAUCUUUAAUUAUUUUACAGCCCAACAUCAGUCCUCCGGUCCACAAGGAGGCGCUGCAGCAGAAGUCUUUUCACAACCGCAGUGAUCAUAAACACCUACUGUGGAUUUUUGGGCAGAAAUAAAUAUUUUAAUUGAUUAAUACACGGACAAUAAUUUCUAAAGUGAGACAAAAGUUAAUUUCAGACCUUGUUUUUUUUAAUUAUUAUUAUUUUCACUUUUGUAUCUCUCUCUCUCUCUCUCUCUCUCUCUCUCUCUGCCUAAGUAUUAUAUUUAUUUGAUGUUACACUGACGAGUGUGCCGAGUCGCUCGGCGUGCGCACUCUUCUGUCCUUCUCGUGUAUUUUAUUGGAUCAAGACUUGAAGUGAUCAGGGUUACUGUAGAUCUGCAGGCGCGUGCCGAUCAUCGGUUAUACGAUACAUCACGAUAUUCAUCACCGUAUUCAUCACCAUAUUCAUCACCAUAUUCAACCGGAAACAUCGUCACGUUCUGUUUCACCCGGUUCUGCCAAGAGCUAGAGGUCCCAGAUGUUCAACCAAACAUCUGUCAGAUCUUCUUCAUAAUCGGACGUCUGAUUAAAGACAAAGCACUCGAGACACCGUGUCUGCUCUGAUUGGCUGCUGGCAGCCGCAGUAAGAGAGCGCGAGACGUUAACGUACGCGACGUAGCCGCAGUGACACCAUAAAAAGAAAAGGAAACAGGUUUUAUUACGGAAUCCUCACGACGCCGUCUUUCACACAGGAGAGCUAAAGUAUUUCCACGGAUCUGAGCAAUAUUAAUAAACUAACUUCAGUUUUUCUUCACUGUCACCAUGGUAACCUGCUAACACCCUGGACCGGUGUAAAGUAUGUAACAUAUCGUAAAAAUAUAUAUAUCGUAACCCGCGAUUAAUGCAACGUAUAAACGUAUCGGCACACGCCUGCUGUAGAUGCGACCAUCUGAAAGUACACACACACACACACACACACACACACACACACACAUUGUAAUAUUUAUGUUGCUGUUUAAACUCUGAGGACCAAACGGAGCUCGGGCUCAAAGGGACGUCCCCCGCUGUGUCUCUCUGCAUUUCACACUUUGUGUUGUUUUUGUACAAUUUUAGCUGCUGUGUGUGUGUGUGUGUGUUGUGUAUUUUUUAGUGAUGAUGUCUGUUACUGCUGUUCCUCAUCCUGCACUCCUCCUCCCUCCCUCUCCCUCUCUCUCUCCCUUUCUCUCCCUCUCUCUCUCUCUCCCUUUCUCUCCCUCUCCCUCUCUCUCUCCCUUUCUCUCCCUUUCUCUCCCUCUCCCUCUCUCUCUCCCUUUCUCUCCCUCUCUCUCUCUCUCCCUUUCUCUCCCUCUCCCUCUCUCUCUCCCUUUCUCUCCCUCUCUCUCUCUCUCCCUUUCUCUCCCUCUCCCUCUCUCUCUCCCUUUCUCUCCCUCUCUCUCUCUCUCUCCCUUUCUCUCCCUCUCUCUCUCCCUCUCUCUCUCUCUCUCUCUCCAUCUCUCUCUCUCUCUCCCUGUCUCUCCCUCUCUCUCUCCCUCUCUCUCUCUCUCCAUCUCUCUCCCUCCAUCUCUCUCUCCCUCUUUCUCUUCACGUUUGUAUUUAUUUGUGUUAGCCUGGAGGAGGAAGUGUGAUGUUGCUGUAAAGAUCUGAUUUGGAUGGUGAAAGAAAUAAAACUAGAACGUUUAGUAAAAUGAA